UACAUGUGGGGCAAGCGUUGUUCGGAAUUACUGGGCGUAAAGCGCACGUAGGCGGAUAUUUAAGUCAGGGGUGAAAUCCCAGAGCUCAACUCUGGAACUGCCUUUGAUACUGGGUAUCUUGAGUAUGGAAGAGGUAAGUGGAAUUGCGAGUGUAGAGGUGAAAUUCGUAGAUAUUCGCAGGAACACCAGUGGCGAAGGCGGCUUACUGGUCCAUAACUGACGCUGAGGUGCGAAAGCGUGGGGAGCAAACAGG
RNAcentral lists this ribosomal RNA (253 nucleotides) under uncultured bacterium. RNAcentral's name for it is "partial 16S ribosomal RNA". It matches the Rfam family "Bacterial small subunit ribosomal RNA", at positions 524 to 776 of the family's 1533-position model. The record is from RNAcentral.